This is a long non-coding RNA of Oryctolagus cuniculus (rabbit), 1886 nucleotides long. NCBI's taxonomy places the organism in Eukaryota, Metazoa, Chordata, Mammalia, Lagomorpha, Leporidae. The record is from Ensembl.
UCCUUGAAUCCCCAGCCCUGGAUGGGUUUUAUUCUGUUUGCAUGAGGUGAGGAAGUAGGGGAGACAGUCUCAAGUUGGUUGGCUUGUUUCUAAUCUGAAAGAGAGAGACAGAGAGAGAGAGAAGACGCUCUCACCUCCUGAUUCACUCCCCCUAAGUGUUUGCAAAAGCCAGGAGCUAGGAACUCAAUUUGGGACUCCCAUGUGUGGGUGGCAGGGAUCCAAAUACUCGAGCCAUCACCUGCUGCUUUCCACAGUCUGCUUUAGCAGGAAGCUGGAGGCAGGAGCCAGAGCUAGGGAUCCAUCCCAGGUCUCUGGUGUGGGACAGAGGACCCUCGAUUGCUGGGCCGUAUACCCGCCGCCUUUUCAAGGUUUUGUGAGCAGGGCGAUGACAUCAUCAAAGACGUGCUUGCCAAAACCAGGUGGCUGCAGCAAUGUUUGUUAGGAAAGCGGUUUUUAUGGACUGAAGCACAGGCAUCCCAUAUGAUACAGGUUCGAGACCCGGCCGCUCCACUUCUGAUCCAGCUCUCUGCUAUGGCCUGGGAAAGCAGUAGAAGAUUGCCCAAGGCCUUGGGCCCCCGCACCCAUGUGGGAGACCCAGAAGAAGCUCCUGGCUUUGGAUUGGCUCAGCUCCAGCCAUUGCGGCCAUUAUUAAAAAUCUUAAAAAUAAGAUUUAUGUUAUUUAUUUGAAAGAGUGACAGAGGGAAAGACAAGGGCCAGGCUGAAGCUAGGAGCCAGGAACUCCAUCCAGAUUUCCCAUAUAGAUAGUACAAGUGACCCAUGCACUUGGGCCAUCUUCUGCUGCUUUCCCAGGCACAUCAGCAGGGAACUGGAUCAGAAGUGGAGCAGCCGGGACUCGAACCAGCACUCAGAUGGGAUGCCAGUGUCUCAGGCCACGUCUGAACCCACUGCACCGACCACUGGCCCCCACGCUGUUUUUGAAAGGAGCGGAGCUAUGUGCUCUGUGGGCUCAGGCUGGGUGGUGAUGACUGUAGGGCAUCCGGACACGGUCUGCAAACACAGGAUGCAGAAGCCCAAGGGUUGCCAAGCUUCAACGUCCUGAAUCACUCUUCUCCUAGCUGCAGGGAGUUCUGGGUCCUCAAGCACAAAGGUUUGUCGCAGACAGAGGAAACGUGUAGCCAUGUCGGAGCUGACGGGCAACACACCAAACCCAAGGAUCUGUCUUGUCCUGUGGGCAGUGCGGAGCCAUGGCGCUUAGGUGAGACCCCACCUUCAUCCCUGAGCCCCACCCUAGGGCAGGAGGGGGACCUUGGCAUCUCCCCAGGAGCCUGGCCUUGCCACCAUCCCUGCCCUGCCGGGGACCCAGCUGUGAGCGUCAUCUGGCCUUGGAGGUGGGGCUUGGAUGGGGAAGUGAACUUACCGUCUGGUGAAGCCUGUAAUUCUGGGUUCACGGCUCCUCCAUGCUGUUUCACUGCCUGGGCAGCUUUUGCAUUCUCCCUCUUCCUGUAUAAAAUAGGGCUCAUAAGGGUCAUCUCCAAAAGUCUUUGAAUUUAGUUUGUCACAUGCCUGGCCCCAGGCCUUCAGUAAAACAAAUUGUGGGGGCUGGCGUUGUGGCACAGUGGGUUAAAGCCCUGGCCUGAAGCGCCGGCAUCCGAUAUGGGAGCUGGUUCUAGUCCCGGCUGCUCCUCUUCCAAUCCAGCUCUCUGCUAUGGCCUGGGAAAGCAGUAGAAGAUGGCCCAAGUCCUUGGGCCCCUGCAUCCACGUGGGAGACCAGGAGGAAGCUCCUGGCUUCGGCUUGGUGCAGCUCCGGCCAUUGUGGCCAAUUGGGGAGUGAACCAGCGGAUGGAAGACCUCUCUCUCUGCCUCUGCCUCUCUCUCUCUCUCUCUAACUCUGUCUUUCAAAUAAAUAAAAUAAAUCUUUAAAAACA